Molecule: ribosomal RNA, 253 nt
Filed under: uncultured bacterium
Lineage: Bacteria
Description: partial 16S ribosomal RNA
Rfam family: Bacterial small subunit ribosomal RNA
Source: RNAcentral
UACGUAGGUGGCAAGCGUUAUCCGGAAUUAUUGGGCGUAAAGCGCGCGCAGGCGGUUUCUUAAGUCUGAUGUGAAAGCCCACGGCUCAACCGUGGAGGGUCAUUGGAAACUGGGAGACUUGAGUGCAGAAGAGAAGAGUGGAAUUCCACGUGUAGCGGUGAAAUGCGUAGAGAUGUGGAGGAACACCAGUGGCGAAGGCGACUCUUUGGUCUGUAACUGACGCUGAGGCGCGAAAGCGUGGGGAGCAAACAGG